Molecule: non-coding RNA, 469 nt
Organism: Callithrix jacchus (white-tufted-ear marmoset)
Lineage: Eukaryota; Metazoa; Chordata; Mammalia; Primates; Cebidae
Source: RefSeq, a predicted model, not a curated record
UUGAGGAAAUCUACACCUUUACCCAUGGACAUCUUCCUGUGUGAAACGCCCUCCCGUUUCCUUCCUCAUUUCUCCAGACCCGAGUUACACUUGAUUUCCUCUUGGAGGCCUCUACUGAUAACUUCGGUCUUUCUCAGGUCUAGAUAAAAAGUCUGUCUGGGUUACUAACUGGGCCAAUAUGACUAUAAUUAUCUUCUGUUGAUGCCUCUUAUGAAACAGAGACAGGGUUUCACUCUGUCACCCAGGCUGGUCUCCACCUCCUGGCUUCAAGCGUGAUUCUCCCGCCUUGACUUACCUGAGUGCUGAGAUUACAGGGUCUUCUGCCAUGUGAGGACACAGAGUUCAUCCCUUUCUUGUCCUUCCACCUGCCACCAUGUGAAGACACAGAAACAAGGCACUUCUUGGAAGCAGGGAGAAGCCCUGACCAGCACCAAUGUCAGCACCUUAAUCUUGGACUUCUUGGCCUUCA